Molecule: non-coding RNA, 29 nt
Filed under: Rattus norvegicus (Norway rat)
Lineage: Eukaryota; Metazoa; Chordata; Mammalia; Rodentia; Muridae
Source: RNAcentral
UAGACACGUCUUCUUGGAAAGCUGGUUAA